CAGUUGGGCAUAGGACAUGGCGAGGACCAUAGGUGAUGCGACAAGACGGCGCAAAAGCGUGGCCCUCAUCAAUUUUUGGCGGGCGGCACGCGUUGACUGCGACACAAAUAUAAGUGGUACACAAUCCAAUGCAGUGCUUAAGCAUAAACCGCGUGUUCGUUGGAUUAGACGCAGGCCAAAUGCCGAUAAACUACAUCAACGUAAGGUCAAAGAAGUGCUGCAACGCGCCAAUCGCGAGGAUUAUGUGCACAACGGUUCAUUUCUGGAGGCCAUCAAGCCAGUGUUAAUCAUUGCCCAAGUUUUUGCUCUAAUGCCUGUGCGCGGCAUAACUUCAAAGCAUGCGGAGGAUUUGAGUUUUAGCUGGAUGAGCUUACGCUCUUGUUAUUCGAUGAUCGUCAUCGUAUCCUUUGGUAUCGUGUCUGGUUUUAUGGCGCUGUUUGUCAUGCGUAUCAACUUCGAUUUUGACUCGGUGCAAACUUUAAUCUUCUAUGGCUCCAUAUUCGCUAUCUCUUUGGCCUUCUUUCAGCUGGCCACCAAAUGGCCAGCUGUUGCCUUGGAGUGGCAGAUGGUGGAGUCACAGCUGCCUAAAUUGCGUACAGAGAAAGAACGCUCUGCAUUGGCUUUUCAUAUCAGAAUGAUUAUAUUGAUAGCUAUGAUGUGCUCGCUGGUGGAACAUAUCUUGAGCAUGCUGUCCAGUAUUUAUUAUGUGAAUGCCUGCCCUGUGCUGCCGAAUCAGCCCAUCAACAGCUAUUUAUUUAUAAAUUUUUCAAUGUUUUUCACAUUUGUCGACUACACUCCAUUUCUGGGUUUAAUUGGGAAAGUGAUCAAUGUGCUGGCCACCUUUGCCUGGAGCUUCAAUGAUAUAUUCGUAAUGGCCGUCAGCGUUUCUCUAGCGGCACGUUUCCGUCAGCUAAACGACUAUAUGCUCAGAGAAGCCAGAUUGCCCACUACCGUUGAUUACUGGAUUCAGUGCCGCAUUAAUUUUCGGAAUCUUUGUAAACUCUGCUCAGUUCUGGAUGAUGCUAUAUCCAUUAUAACACUCUUAUGCUUCAGCAAUAAUCUCUACUUUAUAUGCGGCAAGAUCUUAAAGAGCCUGCAGAAAAAACCAUCUGCAUCGCAUACGGUAUACUUUUGGUUCUCGCUGGGCUAUUUACUCUGUCGCACUUUAAUACUCUCGCUUUAUAGCGCCAGCGUUAAUGAUGAAUCCAAGCGUCCAUUGCGCAUCUUUCAGCUGGUACCCAGGCAGUUCUGGUCCAGUGAGGUAAUGGGGCUUUAUAUGAAAAUAUUAGAAGCAAGGCUUAAAUCGAAGCGACUUAAGCCCGGAAUUCCAGUUUAUUUUUCAAUAUGAACAUUACUUUAAACCAAAUGCCAAGAAAAUGGUGAGGUCGGAACCAUAUAAGAAGCUCUUAAGGGAGAUUUAGUCUCAAACAUUGUAUUAAUCUAACCAAAUUUGAAGAGAUAUUUUUAUGACAAUAUUUAUACUCAAGCGCUUUUCGGAGGAAGUGCACAUGGAUCAGGUGGCCUUAACUGGCAUGAAAUUCUUUCGGCUUACACGUGGCGUGG
Molecule: unclassified non-coding RNA, 1563 nt
Filed under: Drosophila virilis
Lineage: Eukaryota; Metazoa; Arthropoda; Insecta; Diptera; Drosophilidae
Description: gustatory receptor 64e
Source: RNAcentral